ACGAACGCUGGCGGCGUGCUUAACACAUGCAAGUCGAGCGGUAAGGCCCUUUCGGGGGUACACGAGCGGCGAACGGGUGAGUAACACGUGGGUGACCUGCCUUUAGCUCUGGGAUAAGCCUGGGAAACCGGGUCUAAUACCGGAUAUGACUCCGCGGCGCAUGUUGUGGGGUGGGAAGCCUUGUGCGGCUGGAGAUGGGCCCGCGGCCUAUCAGCUUGUUGGUGGGGUGAUGGCCUACCAAGGCGACGACGGGUAGCCGGCCUGAGAGGCGACCGGCCACACUGGGACUGAGACACGGCCCAGACUCCUACGGGAGGCAGCAGUGGGGAAUCUGCGCAAUGGGCGAAAGCCUGACGCAGCGACGCCGCGUGAGGGAUGACGGCCU
This 385-nucleotide ribosomal RNA is filed under the name uncultured bacterium. RNAcentral describes it as "bacterial SSU rRNA". It matches the Rfam family "Bacterial small subunit ribosomal RNA", at positions 29 to 417 of the family's 1533-position model. The record is from RNAcentral.